CCUGGGCACCAGGUCCAAAGGAACUAGAGGCUACCCUGGGCACCAGGUCUAAGGGAAGUAGAGGCUAGCCUGGGUACCAGGUCUAAGGGAAGUAGAGGCUACCCUGGGCACCAGGUCCAAGGGAAGUAGAGGCUAGCCUGGGUACCAGGUCUAAGGGAAAAGUAGAGGCUAGCCCGGGCACCCAGCGCUGCAGGUAUGAAGCUGUCGCUGCUCAGCAAGAGCUGGCAGGCCCCAACUGGCCGGUCUUCCAGUUAUCCUCUCUCUGCGGUAGGGCACCACAAAGGGACGCUGGGACAGGAGCCUGGGGAACUGCCUCCCUCCCCGCCCAUCCACACAGGCUUCCCCAGGGGGGCUGGGGACCAGGGGCAGCAGCAGUGCCAGCUCAUGGUCCAGGAAAAGGUGCAAAAGUAAGCCAUGCAGCGGUGGUAGUGCAUGGCUUUAAUGCCAAUACUUGGAGGCAGAGGCAGGUGGAUCUUUAUGAAAUUGAAGCUAGCCUGGUCUACAGAGUGAGUUCCAGGACAGUCAGGACUACACAGAGAAAUUUUGCUUCAAAAAAACCAAAAAGAAAAAGUGCAGGGCUGGAGAGAUGGCUCAGUGGUUAAGAGCACUGACUUUUGUUCUAGAGGUCCUGAGUUCAAUUCCCAGCAACCACGUGGUGGCUCACAACCAUCUAUAAUGGGAUCCAAUGCCCUCUUCUGGUGUGUCUGAAGACAGCUACAGUGUACUCAUAUAAAUAAAAAUAAAUAAACCUUUAAAAAAAUAUUUACUGAUAAAAAAUACACAGCCAGGCAGUGGUGGAGCAUGCCUGUAAUCCCAGCACUCUGGGAGGCAGAGGCAGGUGGAUCUCUAUGAGUUUGAGGCCAGCCUGGUCUACAGA
Apodemus sylvaticus (European woodmouse) is the source of this 877-nucleotide long non-coding RNA. RefSeq lists it as uncharacterized. The record is from RefSeq and is a predicted model, not a curated record. The transcript is spliced from 3 exons. Lineage: Eukaryota; Metazoa; Chordata; Mammalia; Rodentia; Muridae.